This 162-nucleotide non-coding RNA is filed under the name uncultured Anaeroplasma sp. The record is from RNAcentral. Lineage: Bacteria; Bacillati; Mycoplasmatota; Mollicutes; Anaeroplasmatales; Anaeroplasmataceae.
UAGCGAUAUUAUUGGUGAAGGAAGGAGCUAGCAAAGCUUUCGAGCAUACGUACAAAAACUUGAUGAGACUAAAUGGUGGAUAAGGUUGCUAAUCAAACCAAAGUCCUAAAGGUAAACGUAAAACCAAGAGAAUAUAUCAAGAGGUUUUAAAACGAAAGAUUA